AUUGAACGCUGGCGGCAUGCCUUACACAUGCAAGUCGAACGGUAACGCGGGGGGCAACCCUGGCGACGAGUGGCGAACGGGUGAGUAAUACAUCGGAACGUGUCCUGUUGUGGGGGAUAACCCAUCGAAAGGUGAGCUAAUACCGCAUGAUCUGGAGACAGCAAAGCAGGGGACCGGUAACGGCCUUGCGCGAUUGGAGCGGCCGAUGUCCGAUUAGCUAGUUGGUGGGGUAAAGGCCCACCAAGGCAACGAUCGGUAGCUGGUCUGAGAGGAUGAUCAGCCACACUGGGACUGAGACACGGCCCAGACUCCUACGGGAGGCAGCAGUGGGGAAUUUUGGACAAUGGGGGCAACCCUGACGCAGCGACGCCGCGUGGAGGAUGAAGAUUUUCGGAUCGUAAACUCCUGUCGAAUGGGACGAAAAGAUUGCGGGUGAACAGCCCGUAGUCCUGAC
Molecule: ribosomal RNA, 454 nt
Filed under: uncultured bacterium
Lineage: Bacteria
Description: bacterial SSU rRNA
Rfam family: Bacterial small subunit ribosomal RNA
Source: RNAcentral